RNAcentral lists this ribosomal RNA (523 nucleotides) under uncultured Halovivax sp. RNAcentral's name for it is "bacterial SSU rRNA". It matches the Rfam family "Archaeal small subunit ribosomal RNA", at positions 360 to 881 of the family's 1478-position model. Lineage: Archaea; Methanobacteriati; Methanobacteriota; Halobacteria; Halobacteriales; Natrialbaceae. The record is from RNAcentral.
UCCGAAGGCGAUAGGGGGACUCCAAGUGCGAGGGCAUAUAGUCCUCGCUUUUCUCGACCGUAAGGAGGUCGAAGAAUAAGUGCUGGGCAAGACCGGUGCCAGCCGCCGCGGUAAUACCGGCAGCACGAGUGAUGACCGCUCUUAUUGGGCCUAAAGCGUCCGUAGCUGGCCGGGCAAGUCCAUCGGGAAAUCCGCACGCUUAACGUGCGGGCGUCCGGUGGAAACUGUUCGGCUUGGGACCGGAAGAUCCAGAGGGUACGUCCGGGGUAGGAGUGAAAUCCCGUAAUCCUGGACGGACCACCGGUGGCGAAAGCGCUCUGGAAAGACGGAUCCGACGGUGAGGGACGAAAGCUAGGGUCACGAACCGGAUUAGAUACCCGGGUAGUCCUAGCUGUAAACGAUGUCUGCUAGGUGUGGCACAGGCUACGAGCCUGUGCUGUGCCGUAGGGAAGCCGUGAAGCAAACCGCCUGGGAAGUACGUCUGCAAGGAUGAAACUUAAAGGAAUUGGCGGGGGAAGCACAA